AGAGUUUGAUCAUGGCUCAGGACGAACGCUGGCGGCGUGCUUAACACAUGCAAGUCGAGCGGAAAGGCCCUUCGGGGUACUCGAGCGGCGAACGGGUGAGUAACACGUGAGCAACCUGCCCCUAGCUCCGGGAUAGCUCCGGGAAACCGGGAUUAAUACCGGAUAUGACCACACUAGACAUCUUAUGUGGUGGAAAGGAU
This 200-nucleotide ribosomal RNA is filed under the name uncultured bacterium. Its description in RNAcentral is "partial 16S ribosomal RNA". It matches the Rfam family "Bacterial small subunit ribosomal RNA", at positions 8 to 210 of the family's 1533-position model. The record is from RNAcentral.